UUGGUACCAUGUCAAGCAACUGAUCGCUCUAACAUCAUAUAAAAUAAUAACUAGUUUUUCUUAGAACUUAAAGCUUUCUGCUUUAAUACCAUAUUUAUAACCAAUUAUUUUGAAAGUUUAAACUACUUCUGUAUCUUAUUAAUAUAUAUAUUUAAGAACUAAGCUGGAAUACUACCAAUAGCACUAAGCUAUCGAUGCUAUUAAAUUUUCGGCUGUUGGAUGAAGGAAUGUACGUUUAGGAUGAUAUAAGCCCUCUAGGGUUGAGUAAGUUGUUGGUCGAAUAGUAUAAUCUAAUGGAUGAAAAUAGUCAAAUGGUUAAAUCUAACGGUGGAAAACUUGGUAGCACCAAGCGCUUGGUUCUAUUGAUAGUAUUCCAGCCGAACACUAUAUUUAAUAAGAUAAAUUUA
Molecule: long non-coding RNA, 407 nt
Filed under: Ananas comosus (pineapple)
Lineage: Eukaryota; Viridiplantae; Streptophyta; Magnoliopsida; Poales; Bromeliaceae
Description: long non-coding RNA (ACOM_LNC017320)
Source: RNAcentral